RNAcentral lists this ribosomal RNA (926 nucleotides) under uncultured bacterium. Its description in RNAcentral is "bacterial SSU rRNA". It matches the Rfam family "Bacterial small subunit ribosomal RNA", at positions 8 to 916 of the family's 1533-position model. The record is from RNAcentral.
AGAGUUUGAUCAUGGCUCAGGACGAACGCUGGCGGCGUGCCUAAUACAUGCAAGUAGAACGCUGAAGAAAGGAGCUUGCUUCUUUUGGAUGAGUUGCGAACGGGUGAGUAACGCGUAGGUAACCUGCCUUGUAGCGGGGGAUAACUAUUGGAAACGAUAGCUAAUACCGCAUAACAGCUUUUGACACAUGUUAGAAGCUUGAAAGAUGCAAUUGCAUCACUACGAGAUGGACCUGCGUUGUAUUAGCUAGUAGGUAGGGUAACGGCCUACCUAGGCGACGAUACAUAGCCGACCUGAGAGGGUGAUCGGCCACACUGGGACUGAGACACGGCCCAGACUCCUACGGGAGGCAGCAGUAGGGAAUCUUCGGCAAUGGGGGCAACCCUGACCGAGCAACGCCGCGUGAGUGAAGAAGGUUUUCGGAUCGUAAAGCUCUGUUGUAAGAGAAGAAUGUGUGUGAGAGUGGAAAGUUCACACAGUGACGGUAACUUACCAGAAAGGGACGGCUAACUACGUGCCAGCAGCCGCGGUAAUACGUAGGUCCCGAGCGUUGUCCGGAUUUAUUGGGCGUAAAGCGAGCGCAGGCGGUUUAAUAAGUCUGAAGUUAAAGGCAGUGGCUUAACCAUUGUUCGCUUUGGAAACUGUUAAACUUGAGUGCAGAAGGGGAGAGUGGAAUUCCAUGUGUAGCGGUGAAAUGCGUAGAUAUAUGGAGGAACACCGGUGGCGAAAGCGGCUCUCUGGUCUGUAACUGACGCUGAGGCUCGAAAGCGUGGGGAGCAAACAGGAUUAGAUACCCUGGUAGUCCACGCCGUAAACGAUGAGUGCUAGGUGUUAGGCCCUUUCCGGGGCUUAGUGCCGCAGCUAACGCAUUAAGCGCUCCGCCUGGGGAGUACGACCGCAAGGUUGAAACUCAAAGGAAUUGACGG